UAGGGAAUCUUCGGCAAUGGACGAAAGUCUGACCGAGCAACGCCGCGUGAGUGAAGAAGGUUUUCGGAUCGUAAAACUCUGUUGUUAGAGAAGAACAAGGACGUUAGUAACUGAACGUCCUCUGACGGUAUCUAACCAGAAAGCCACGGCUAACUACGUGCCAGCAGCCGCGGUAAUACGUAGGUGGCAAGCGUUGUCCGGAUUUAUUGGGCGUAAAGCGAGCGCAGGCGGUUUCUUAAGUCUGAUGUGAAAGCCCCCGGCUCAACCGGGGAGGGUCAUUGGAAACUGGGAGACUUGAGUGCAGAAGAGGAGAGUGGAAUUCCAGGUGUAGCGGUGAGAUGCGUAGAUAUAUGGAGGAACACCAGUGGCGAAGGCGGCUCUCUGGUCUGUAACUGACGCUGAGGCUCGAAAGCGUGGGGAGCAAACAGG
RNAcentral lists this ribosomal RNA (429 nucleotides) under Gemmatimonadota bacterium. RNAcentral describes it as "Gemmatimonadetes bacterium partial 16S ribosomal RNA". It matches the Rfam family "Bacterial small subunit ribosomal RNA", at positions 355 to 776 of the family's 1533-position model. Lineage: Bacteria; Pseudomonadati; Gemmatimonadota. The record is from RNAcentral.